AUGCAGGGAGGCAAUGUGCUAGGAGGAGAACUCUUUUUCCAUGUGAUCCAGAAGGUUUGUCACAGAUGCUCUGAGCUCUCUUCGGCCCUUCACCCCAACAAAGCCAGGUCCCCAUGGGAGCAGCGCUCACCACGUGAAAACCUGGACCUUCCACAGCUCAUGCUUGGACAAGAAAACCAGCAAAAAAACAGAAACCACAUCCCUGCUGGGCGCUCCACCAGCAGGUGCAGGGAGCAGUGGGAUGGCCGGGUUGCUGGGUGCCAUGGGUGUGGGAACCCUCACCGGAGAUACCGCCAGGUUUCUGUUUUCACCGACACACAUCCUGGAUAAGAAAAUGCUCCAAAGGACCUCCACCAUCAAUGGGUCUGCAGCAGCAGCUCUUCCAGGGGUGGCUGGCAUGGAUGCCUGGAGGAGAUGGGAUGGGAUGGGAUGGGAUGGGAUGGGAUGGGAUGGGAUGGGAUGGGAUGGGAUGGGAUGGGAUGGGAUGGGAUGGGGUGGGGUGGGGUGGGGUGGGGUGGGGUAGGGUAGGGUGGGAUGGGGUGGGAUGGGGUGGGGUGGGAUGGGAUGGGAUGGGGUGGGAUGGAGUGGGGUGAGAUUGGGUGAGAUGGGAUGGGAUGAGAUGUAGUAUGACAGGGUGAGAUGGGGUGGGUGGAAUAGGACAGGAUGGAAUGAGAUAAAAUGGGGACUGGAGCACCUCCCCUAUGAAGACAGGCUGAGGGAGCUGGGCUUGUUCAGCCUGGAGAAAAGAAGGCUGCGGGGUGACCUCAUGGCAGCCUUCAGUACCUAAAGGGAGCCUACAAACAGGAGGGAAAUCAACUCUUUGAAAGGGUUGAUAAGUGCAGGACGAGGGGAAAUGGUUUGAAGUUGAGGGAGGGGAGAUUUAGAUUGGACGUCAGGGGGAAAUUGUUUACAGAGAGAGUGGUGAAGUGCUGGAACAGCUGCCCAGAGAGGUUGUGGAUGCCUCAUCCCUGGAGGUGUUCAAGGCCAAAUUGGAUGGAGUGCUGGGCAGUCU
RNAcentral lists this long non-coding RNA (1012 nucleotides) under Phasianus colchicus (ring-necked pheasant). Its description in RNAcentral is "lncRNA (ENSPCLG00000007408.1)". Lineage: Eukaryota; Metazoa; Chordata; Aves; Galliformes; Phasianidae. The record is from RNAcentral.